CACCGCCCGUCACACCAUGGGAGUCGAUUGCUCCAGAAGUGCCUGAGCCAACCGCAAGGAGGCAGGCCCAAGGAGUGAUCGGUAACUGGGUG
Molecule: ribosomal RNA, 92 nt
Filed under: uncultured bacterium
Lineage: Bacteria
Description: partial 16S ribosomal RNA
Source: RNAcentral